UAGAUUAACUUGAUUCAGUAUUUUUGGACACUAGUGAUGUUAAAUCAAUAUAGAAAAACGAGGCAAAUAUAGUGUUAUCUUAAUGUGUGUGUAUGUAAGAAAGUAAGAAUAUUCUUUUGGUCUGGGGCUGCCCCUUAGUGUCCUGCUGAAGAAUUGCUUCUUCCAGAUCUCAAGCUUGCAACAGCUGCCAAGGCUGCAGGAACCAAGGGAAAGAAACUCCCUCCUGUCUGCUCCAGGGUACAUGUAGAUGUUUCACUACUGCUUUACUACAGUAAGCUCUGUACAGGGGUCAGCACUGUCAAUAGCACACCAAUCAAGAAGCAUUAUCAUUAAAAAUUACAUAGGAAAGAAAUAACCAUUGCACACAGCCUUGCUAGCUAGAGGUGUAAACUCUGCAGAGAAUUUAACCUGACCUAAUAUAGGUCAAAAUAUUGGGAUAAAAUGGUGGGAUUUAGGCACAUGAUUUGCUGAAGUCAGGCUUUAUAUUCCACUAAUUGCCCUUAGACACUCAUCCCAAACUUACUACCUGCAGAGGAAAAAGGAAGUUCAGAAGCACUUAAGUCAAUGCUCCUGUUUGAAGGGUAAAUACAGGAAAAGUCUGGAGUAAUGUAAUAUUCUCCAGAAAUAUUACAGGAUCAUUCUGCAAACAGCCAUGCAUUCUUGUCCAAGUGCAAUGGGAUCAAGAAACCUCAAGAGGGCAUUGAGAGACAGUAGAUGGUGAGGGUACAGAAGGUAGGCUUAAAAACAGCGUGAGGCCUUGGAUGAAAGCCCAAUUUAAGUAUUUUGCGUGUGUUUUCACUGUGGUGGAGAUAGGAGAAGUUCCCAGAGGACAGAGAAAGAGAUAUGUUGAAGGAUUUGUCUUAGUCUGAAGUGAAGGUAGAUGUUAUAGGACAGAUCCUCAAAACAAGAGGUAACAAGCCAAGAUGGAAUCCAGCCUGGAGCUAGAAGAACCUCAAGUUCUUCUAGAACAAUGGGAGGAACAAUGGCAGCCUCUGGCUCAGGACCACAGCAAGGAAAACUGGAAGGUACAAUGCCAAGUACUAUCCAGAGAGCCGAUAACAUUAGGUCUGCCAUCAUGUUAGAUAAAGGGGAAGAGACCCACCUGAAAACCAGAAGGGUAGGAACAUGACUAAACACAGUACAUUGAGGAAAAGUAAAGAAGAGUCAUAAUGCAAACCUGCUGACACUCCCCAAAGGAGUUCAUGAUGACUUACUUCUCUGAUUACUGCCCACCUUGUUCCCAGAAAAUGUUCCUCACUCUUAAGGAAAUUAGGCUGCCAUGGAAUACAGUGAAAAGAAUCACAGAGGAAAUAACUAACUGAAAGAGAACUGAAAAUAUCAAGAGUACCUGAGCUACAAAAAGGAGAAUGUCAGUAACUAAUGCUACUGAGACCAGGCAUUCCCCAUUCUUCAUUCUUCAGGUCACUGUCAAGAGAAGUGUGCAGUAAAAUGAAAGACAGAUGCUCUCAUUUCCUCUAAUGAUGCAAUCCCACUAAUGGGACAGGUCCAGCACCCUCAGUUGCUCCUGACUCACCUAACAAGAUGGGCUGCAGCUCAAGAAAUACAUCCCAGCCCAUGUUCUGCCUGUAUCAAAGAGAUGAGGACUUGCAGCAUCUUACAAGAGUAUUACAAUUCCUUGCUGAGGAAGAUGAAAGUCUGGCAAAACCCAGUACAUACAAGGCUUUGCUUUUGCUCAAAUAUUGAUUCCUUACUUAAAAUGUAAACUUUUUUCUUGAGUCCACUCUUGUGAAGCAGCCUCAGCCACCACUCUCAGCAGCACGUAGUUAUCUGUAACUACAAUGGCCAUGGUAAAUUAAGUUACAGAUAGAAGUUACGGGUAAAGCAACAUUUCCACAGGGGAAAGGUUCACAUUCACAUCAGAUGCUCUGGAAAUAAUGACAGAAAUCAACUACCACUGACAAUAAACUUCUGCAUGUCAUAUUCCAGAAAUCUGGCGAUUACAAGACUUAGACAGCAACACCUCUUCUUGCUCAGAUAAGCUUAUGCUUUGAAGAUUUGGUUUUAGCAGUGGUUUAAAUCCAAGAAAAAGCAAAGGAGGUUGAAAGAUAUUGUGACAAUAUUUUGCUUCGAAAGUUACACUCCAGGAUCCCCAUAUCUCCCCAGCAAUCUGCUUUCAUGAUCCCAAACCUAGCAGGGAUAUUUAAUAUCACCUGUUAAGUCCUUCUUCUUCUCUUAUAUCAGAUAUGUAUGUUUGUUUUGAAAUGGGGAAUUACAAAAUAAAGCACAGCAGAAGGAAACAGGAUUGUCUUUCAUGCUUGUGUGUUUGUUAAAGAAAGUGUGCAGUAACAGAAACAGAAGAGGGAGCCUUUAAUCACAGUAUCAGCUUUGUUUGCAGAUACUCAGAACAUUAAAUAAAGCAUGCUCCUAUAUGUAACAUUCUUUCCCCAGAUGAUGGACAGAGUCCUCAGCUAGUUCUUGAAUAUCACCAACCUCCUUAGGCUUGGACUGACAGCUUGGUAGGUGUGUGACAUGUACCCUCCCCUCGGCUGAGAAGCCAUGGUUCCACAUUA
Molecule: non-coding RNA, 2531 nt
Organism: Cyanistes caeruleus (blue tit)
Lineage: Eukaryota; Metazoa; Chordata; Aves; Passeriformes; Paridae
Source: RefSeq, a predicted model, not a curated record